RNAcentral lists this long non-coding RNA (304 nucleotides) under Glycine max (soybean). Its description in RNAcentral is "long non-coding RNA (GMAX_LNC003156)". Lineage: Eukaryota; Viridiplantae; Streptophyta; Magnoliopsida; Fabales; Fabaceae. The record is from RNAcentral.
UGCAAUCCAAGCGUAAAGAAGGAAGCACACAUUUCAAAUUCUUGACAAACUAUGCAACUGUCAUGCAGAAUAGUGGAAGCCUUAUAUCUUUACAUGCAUCUGCGACCAAGACUUGAACCUUACAGUAUCUAUCAACACCUCAAACUCAAAAGAGGGUUAUUCUUCAUGUAUUUAUAAGUUUCUUCUACACUCAAUAAGUGUUGUGACAUUCCUCCCUUCCGUUUAUUGUUCUUGCAUUCUUUCAUUCCAUCUUUGUAUCCCCGUCGUAAGUAUUUUCCUCUCUCCUUAUAUUUGUUAGUUUUUG